UACAGGGGGGGUAAGCGUUGUUCGGAUUCACCGGGCGUAAAGGGUGCGUAGGUGGUGGGGUAAGUCUCGUGUGAAAGCUCGCAGCUUAACUGCGAAAAGUCACGGGAUACUAUUCUGCUGGAGGCUUGGAGGGGGGACUGGAAUACUUGGUGUAGCAGUGAAAUGCGUAGAUAUCAAGUGGAACACCAGUGGCGAAGGCGAGUCUCUGGACAUUUCCUGACGCUGAGGCACGAAAGCCAGGGGAGCAAACGGG
Molecule: ribosomal RNA, 253 nt
Filed under: uncultured prokaryote
Description: partial 16S ribosomal RNA
Rfam family: Bacterial small subunit ribosomal RNA
Source: RNAcentral